AUAUUGGACAAUGGGCGGGAGCCUGAUCCAGCCAUGCCGCGUGCAGGAAGACUGCCCUAUGGGUUGUAAACUGCUUUUUUACGGGAAGAAACACCCCCUCGUGAGGGGGCUUGACGGUACCGUACGAAUAAGGAUCGGCUACCUCCGUUCCAGCAGCCGCGGUAAUACGGAGGAUCCGAGCGUUAUCCGGAAUCAUUGGGUUUAAAGGGUCCGUAGGCGGGCGUCUAAGUCAGUGGUGAAAUCCCGCGGCUCAACCGUGGAAUUGCCAUUGAUACUGGUCGCCUUGAAUGGUCGUGAAGUGGCUAGAAUAUGUGGUGUAGCGGUGAAAUGCUUAGAUAUCACAUAGAAUACCGAUUGCGAAGGCAGGUCGCUAACGACGCAUUGACGCUGAUGGACGAAAGCGUGGGGAGCGAACAGG
Molecule: ribosomal RNA, 418 nt
Filed under: uncultured bacterium
Lineage: Bacteria
Description: bacterial SSU rRNA
Rfam family: Bacterial small subunit ribosomal RNA
Source: RNAcentral